AGUAGGGAAUUUUCGGCAAUGGAGGAAACUCUGACCGAGCAACGCCGCGUGAAUGACGAAGUACUUCGGUAUGUAAAGUUCUUUUAUCAGGGAAGAAUGGGCAGUGGAAAAACUGUUUUGACGGUACCUGAUGAAUAAGCCCCGGCUAACUAUGUGCCAGCAGCCGCGGUAAUACAUAGGGGGCAAGCGUUAUCCGGAAUUAUUGGGCGUAAAGGGUGCGUAGGCGGUUAUUUAAGUCUUUGGUGUAAGUGCAAGGCUCAACCUUGUGAUGCUAAGGAAACUGGAUGACUUGAGUGUGAUAGAGGUAAGUGGAAUUCCAUGUGUAGCGGUAAAAUGCGUAAAUAUAUGGAGGAACACCAGUGGCGAAGGCGGCUUACUGGGUCACAACUGACGCUGAGGCACGAAAGCGUGGGGAGCAAACAGGAUUAGAUACCCUGGUAGUCCACGCCGUAAACGAUGAGUACUAAGUGUUGGAGAAAUUCAGUGCUGUAGUUAACGCAAUAAGUACUCCGCCUGAGUAGUACGUGCGCAAGCAUG
This 537-nucleotide ribosomal RNA is filed under the name uncultured Mycoplasmatota bacterium. RNAcentral describes it as "bacterial SSU rRNA". It matches the Rfam family "Bacterial small subunit ribosomal RNA", at positions 353 to 896 of the family's 1533-position model. Lineage: Bacteria; Bacillati; Mycoplasmatota. The record is from RNAcentral.